Molecule: transfer RNA, 70 nt
Filed under: Proechimys semispinosus (Tome's spiny-rat)
Lineage: Eukaryota; Metazoa; Chordata; Mammalia; Rodentia; Echimyidae
Description: tRNA-Tyr
Rfam family: tRNA
About the family: Transfer RNA (tRNA) molecules are approximately 80 nucleotides in length. Their secondary structure includes four short double-helical elements and three loops (D, anti-codon, and T loops). Further hydrogen bonds mediate the characteristic L-shaped molecular structure. tRNAs have two regions of fundamental functional importance: the anti-codon, which is responsible for specific mRNA codon recognition, and the 3' end, to which the tRNAs corresponding amino acid is attached (by aminoacyl-tRNA synthetases). tRNAs cope with the degeneracy of the genetic code in two manners: having more than one tRNA (with a specific anti-codon) for a particular amino acid; and 'wobble' base-pairing, i.e. permitting non-standard base-pairing at the 3rd anti-codon position.
Source: RNAcentral
GGUAGGAUGGCUGAAUAAAAGCAUUAGACUGUAAAUCUAAAGAUAAAGGCUCACACCCCUUUUCCUACCA